RNAcentral lists this ribosomal RNA (253 nucleotides) under uncultured bacterium. RNAcentral describes it as "partial 16S ribosomal RNA". It matches the Rfam family "Bacterial small subunit ribosomal RNA", at positions 524 to 776 of the family's 1533-position model. The record is from RNAcentral.
UACGUAGGGUGCAGGCGUUAAUCGGAAUUACUGGGCGUAAAGCGUGCGCAGGCGGUUUGCUAAGACAGGUGUGAAAUCCCCGGGCUUAACCUGGGAACUGCGCUUGUAACUGGCAAGCUAGAGUGUGGCAGAGGGGGGUGGAAUUCCAGGUGUAGCAGUGAAAUGCGUAGAGAUCUGGAGGAACACCGAUUGCGAAGGCAGCUUGCUAAACGAUGAUUGACGCUGAGGCACGAAAGCGUGGGGAUCAAACAGG